AAAUCAUUCACCAAAACCACAACUACAACAAUCCUCCAAAAAUCUCAUUACAAAACCCCCUUUUCUUGAUUUUCUCAAGAAAAUCCAAAGUUGUUAGCUUUUUGAAGAAAAAAAAAAUCAAUCUUUUUGGUUUUAAGUGGAGAUGCUGCACUUGUUCUUUGCAGUGGCGUUUUCUGCAGUGCCUUUGACUCUGUAUAUACCUCCGAUGAGAAGCUUGAAUCUUUUUGUGGAAACUAUGGAGGAUCUUUGUAGGGAAUCAAGUGUUUAUACAGGAAGGAUGUAUCCAAGGCUACGACAUGUUUGGGCUAGGUUCUUGAAUUGUAUGUUUUGUGUCACUACAAGGUAGAUUUAUUCAAGAUUCACUAAACUUGAACCCCCUCUGUAAAUAAUAUGUUUUUUUUUUCAAUUUUCAAGUUUCAGCCUUACAAUAUAACUCUGGGUUUGUGGAUUUGUUUGGUGGUUCUCUCUGCAAGGCUUUGUUUUUUUGUUUCAGAGAUUUGAUGGUUCAUGUUAAAUCAAAGUGCAUUAAUAAAGAAAGGGUAAUUAUUGGUUGCAAUUGUUUUUGUUUCUAUGCAUAAUUCAAAAUUAGUUUAUAAUGUUUUGUUAA
This 607-nucleotide unclassified non-coding RNA is filed under the name Hevea brasiliensis (rubber tree). Lineage: Eukaryota; Viridiplantae; Streptophyta; Magnoliopsida; Malpighiales; Euphorbiaceae. The record is from RNAcentral.